AUCCAACUGAUGAGUCCCACAUAAGACGAAACGCUCAUCAAACUAGAU
Schistosoma curassoni is the source of this 48-nucleotide non-coding RNA. NCBI's taxonomy places the organism in Eukaryota, Metazoa, Platyhelminthes, Trematoda, Strigeidida, Schistosomatidae. The record is from Rfam.